This 301-nucleotide ribosomal RNA is filed under the name uncultured bacterium. RNAcentral describes it as "partial 16S ribosomal RNA". It matches the Rfam family "Bacterial small subunit ribosomal RNA", at positions 509 to 807 of the family's 1533-position model. The record is from RNAcentral.
CAGUCGCCGCGGGAACACGUAGGGUGCAAGCGUUAAUCGGAAUUACUGGGCGUAAAGCGUGCGCAGGCGGUUAUAUAAGACAGAUGUGAAAUCCCCGGGCUCAACCUGGGAACUGCAUUUGUGACUGUAUAGCUAGAGUACGGCAGAGGGGGAUGGAAUUCCGCGUGUAGCAGUGAAAUGCGUAGAUAUGCGGAGGAACACCGAUGGCGAAGGCAAUCCCCUGGGCCUGUACUGACGCUCAUGCACGAAAGCGUGGGGAGCAAACAGGAUUAGAGACCCCAGUAGUCCCUGUCUCUUAUAC